RNAcentral lists this ribosomal RNA (505 nucleotides) under Babesia capreoli. RNAcentral describes it as "SSU rRNA". It matches the Rfam family "Eukaryotic small subunit ribosomal RNA", at positions 509 to 1064 of the family's 1831-position model. Lineage: Eukaryota; Apicomplexa; Aconoidasida; Piroplasmida; Babesiidae. The record is from RNAcentral.
UUGGAAUGAUGGUGACCUAAACCCUCACCAGAGUAACAAUUGGAGGGCAAGUCUGGUGCCAGCAGCCGCGGUAAUUCCAGCUCCAAUAGCGUAUAUUAAACUUGUUGCAGUUAAAAAGCUCGUAGUUGAAUUUUUGCGUGGUGUUAAUAUUGACUGAUGUCGAGAUUGCACUUCGCUUUUGGGAUUUUUCCCUUUUUACUUUGAGAAAAUUAGAGUGUUUCAAGCAGACUUUUGUCUUGAAUACUUCAGCAUGGAAUAAUAGAGUAGGACUUUGGUUCUAUUUUGUUGGUUUGUGAACCUUAGUAAUGGUUAAUAGGAACGGUUGGGGGCAUUCGUAUUUAACUGUCAGAGGUGAAAUUCUUAGAUUUGUUAAAGACGAACUACUGCGAAAGCAUUUGCCAAGGACGUUUUCAUUAAUCAAGAACGAAAGUUAGGGGAUCGAAGACGAUCAGAUACCGUCGUAGUCCUAACCAUAAACUAUGCCGACUAGGGAUUGGAGGUCGUC